RNAcentral lists this non-coding RNA (183 nucleotides) under Bacillota bacterium. Its description in RNAcentral is "Firmicutes bacterium (anaerobic digester metagenome) 6S RNA". It matches the Rfam family "6S / SsrS RNA". From Rfam's summary of the family: E. coli 6S RNA was the first non coding RNA to be sequenced, but its function was unknown until recently. It consists of 184 nucleotides that fold into an extended hairpin structure with a large single-stranded internal bulge. Lineage: Bacteria; Bacillati; Bacillota. The record is from RNAcentral.
ACUGCCCUACCGUGUGCGUGGUCAACCUGGCUAUGUUAUGAGCCAACACCAUAACAUUGGGAGCCUAAUCUCUGAUAGCGGCGUGCAGGCCUUUUAAAAAGGAAGCAUUAAGUUAUUAGGACGGCACCCACCUGCCGAGGCAGGUUCAUUAACAGUCAGGAUUAACGGCAUGGUGGGGAUUUU